Long non-coding RNA from Macrobrachium nipponense, 481 nucleotides. RefSeq lists it as uncharacterized. The record is from RefSeq and is a predicted model, not a curated record. Lineage: Eukaryota; Metazoa; Arthropoda; Malacostraca; Decapoda; Palaemonidae. The transcript has 3 exons.
GCUGGGUGGAUCCCUUGUCAUAGUGGAUGCUGCAAGUGUUGUAUGAACAAAUGCGAUGAAAAAACCUGCGCCAAUGGCAGAGGAUAUUGUUCUCCCGACGGAAAAUGCAAAACCGGAUAUUACCCCAGUACAAGUGAAUUCUGCAGAGGCUUCGGUUGUACUUGUUGUGUCCCUUGUGGUGAUAGUAAAAUUUGCGCCGCGAAUACAGGAUUCUGUGAGUGGAACCAAAGGAGGUGUCCUACAGGAUACCUAUCUACGAGCAGCCUGUGCUGUCCUGACCGCAAUUGUAGAUGCUGCUACAAAGGGAGACUCCCCGCUACACCAUUUGAUUGUGCUGCUGCUUAACUAAUAAGAAGAGACACGAACGAACAACAGCACCAACAACGGCGGCGAAACAACAGGAAAUGAGUCAAAGGAAAAGAAGCUACAUUGCCAUGAAUUCGUUUUACUGUCACGUUUUUCUCAUUGGCACAUUGAAUCC